This 468-nucleotide ribosomal RNA is filed under the name uncultured bacterium. Its description in RNAcentral is "partial 16S ribosomal RNA". It matches the Rfam family "Bacterial small subunit ribosomal RNA", at positions 28 to 507 of the family's 1533-position model. The record is from RNAcentral.
GACGAACGCUGGCGGCGUGCUUAACACAUGCAAGUCGAACGGAAAGGCCCUGCUUUUGUGGGGUGCUCGAGUGGCGAACGGGUGAGUAACACGUGAGUAACCUGCCCUUGACUUUGGGAUAACUUCAGGAAACUGGGGCUAAUACCGGAUAGGAUCUCCUGCUGCAUGGUGGGGGUUGGAAAGUUUCGGCGGUUGGGGAUGGACUCGCGGCUUAUCAGCUUGUUGGUGGGGUAGUGGCUUACCAAGGCUUUGACGGGUAGCCGGCCUGAGAGGGUGGACGGCCACCUUGCGACUGCGGUACGGACCAGUCUCCUACGGUAGGCAACAGUCGGGAAUAUUGCACAAUGGGCCGAAGCCUGUUGCAGCAGCCCCCCGUGCGGGAUGACGUCCUUCGGGUUAUAAACCGCUUUCGCCUGUGACGACGCGUUAGUGACGGUAAUGGGUAAAGAAGCACCGGCUAACUACGUG